UACGAAGGGGGCUAGCGUUGCUCGGAAUUACUGGGCGUAAAGCGCACGUAGGCGGCUUCUUAAGUCGGAGGUGAAAUCCUGGAGCUCAACUCCAGAACUGCCUUCGAUACUGGGAAGCUUGAGUUCGGGAGAGGUGAGUGGAACUGCGAGUGUAGAGGUGAAAUUCGUAGAUAUGACAUAGAACACCAAUUGCGAAGGCAGCUUGCUAAACUAUUAUUGACACUGAGGCACGAAAGCGUGGGGAUCAAACAGG
This 253-nucleotide ribosomal RNA is filed under the name uncultured bacterium. RNAcentral describes it as "partial 16S ribosomal RNA". It matches the Rfam family "Bacterial small subunit ribosomal RNA", at positions 524 to 776 of the family's 1533-position model. The record is from RNAcentral.